This 300-nucleotide unclassified non-coding RNA is filed under the name fungal sp. RNAcentral's name for it is "partial contains small subunit ribosomal RNA and internal transcribed spacer 1". The stretch from base 1 to 46 matches the Rfam family "Eukaryotic small subunit ribosomal RNA", at positions 1786 to 1831 of the family's 1831-position model. Lineage: Eukaryota; Fungi. The record is from RNAcentral.
AAGUCGUAACAAGGUUUCCGUAGGUGAACCUGCGGAAGGAUCAUUGACAAAUCUAUUUAACAAUAUGACAUUGGUUCAGGGUAAAACUUGAACUUAAUGUAAUAUUUACCCGGAGCCUGUUUGGCUCUGGCAAUUUUUGUAGCAAAGUUGAGGGAGUCAAAUCCUUCAUCUUUCUUAUGAAGAUUGUCAACUGAGCUGUUGAAGUGAAAUAUAUUCAAUAGCACAUAAACUCGAUUGUAUUGUUUGACAUUGUAUUAUUUAAUUGUAAUCUUGACACAUUUAGUGUUGAUUUUACUUGUU